Alnus glutinosa is the source of this 101-nucleotide small nucleolar RNA. RefSeq annotates it as small nucleolar RNA Z43. The transcript has a single exon. NCBI's taxonomy places the organism in Eukaryota, Viridiplantae, Streptophyta, Magnoliopsida, Fagales, Betulaceae. The record is from RefSeq and is a predicted model, not a curated record.
GGACUAUGACUUGUUGGGUGAAUGGUCUCCGUUCGUCCUAAUUAAUGGCAGCUUUUGCCUUGCCGACCAUCCCGAUAUAUCACCACCCGUAUUCUAAGUUC